CUACGGGGUGCUCCAGUGAGGAAUAUUGCACAAUGGGGGGAACCCUGAUGCAGCAACGCCGCGUGGAGGAUGACGCAUUUCGGUGUGUAAACUCCUUUUAUAUGUCAAGAAAAUGACGGUAGCAUAUGAAUAAGCACCGGCUAACUCCGUGCCAGCAGCCGCGGUAAUACGGAGGGUGCAAGCGUUACACGGAAUCACUGGGCGUAAAGGACGCGUAGGCGGGGUGGAAAGUCAGGUGUGAAAUCCUACAGCUUAGCUGUAGAACUGCACUUGAAACUUCUAAUCUAGAGUAUGGGGGGGGAAGAUGGAAUUAGUGGUGUAGGGGUAAAAUCCGUAGAUAUCACUAGGAAUACCUAAAGCGAAGGCGAUCUCCUGGAACAUUACUGACGCUAAGGCGUGAAAGCGUGGGGAGCAAACAGGAUUAGAUACCCGAGUAGUC
Molecule: ribosomal RNA, 439 nt
Filed under: uncultured bacterium
Lineage: Bacteria
Description: partial 16S ribosomal RNA
Rfam family: Bacterial small subunit ribosomal RNA
Source: RNAcentral